AUCAAUUAGAAUAAACAUAUACAUCUAAUUCUUCGCUAGGAUGAGGCAAGCCUGCAAUAUCUCCUUGAUGUGGCAACACUGGAAGAUAUAAACACGGAACAGCUGUCUCUGUGACAAGUGUGCUUGCGAGGCGCUGCCGAUUUUCUUCAAGAACAUUCCCCCUUCGACAGGAAACUAAAUGUGAUGGCUUAACAGUGAAAGUGAAAUUGUCCAGAAAAAAAAAAAGAAGAGGGAAAAAAAUGAAAAGGCUGAAAGAAUCAUGUUACUUUUUGGUUCCUGUAUUAUGGA
Molecule: long non-coding RNA, 288 nt
Filed under: Penaeus japonicus
Lineage: Eukaryota; Metazoa; Arthropoda; Malacostraca; Decapoda; Penaeidae
Description: uncharacterized LOC122257085
Source: RNAcentral